GGACGAAAGUCUGACGGAGCAACGCCGCGUGAGUGAUGAAGGCUUUCGGGUCGUAAAACUCUGUUGUUAGGGAAGAACAAGUGCUAGUUGAAUAAGCUGGCACCUUGACGGUACCUAACCAGAAAGCCACGGCUAACUACAAAAAAAAAAAAA
RNAcentral lists this ribosomal RNA (153 nucleotides) under Bacillus cereus. RNAcentral's name for it is "partial 16S ribosomal RNA". It matches the Rfam family "Bacterial small subunit ribosomal RNA", at positions 373 to 517 of the family's 1533-position model. Lineage: Bacteria; Bacillati; Bacillota; Bacilli; Caryophanales; Bacillaceae. The record is from RNAcentral.